AGUGAACGCUGGCGGUAGGCCUAACACAUGCAAGUCGAACGGCAGCACAGUAAGAGCUUGCUCUUACGGGUGGCGAGUGGCGGACGGGUGAGGAAUACAUCGGAAUCUACUUUUUCGUGGGGGAUAACGUAGGGAAACUUACGCUAAUACCGCAUACGACCUACGGGUGAAAGCAGGGGAUCUUCGGACCUUGCGCGAUUGAAUGAGCCGAUGUCGGAUUAGCUAGUUGGCGGGGUAAAGGCCCACCAAGGCGACGAUCCGUAGCUGGUCUGAGAGGAUGAUCAGCCACACUGGAACUGAGAAACGGUCCAGAAUACUACGGGAGGCAGCAGGGGGGAAUAUUGGACAAUGGGCGCAAGCCUGAUCCAGCCAUACCGCGUGGGUGAAGAAGGCCUUCGGGUUGUAAAGCCCUUUUGUUGGGAAAGAAAAGCAGCAGGUUAAUACCCCGCUGUUCUGACGGUACCCAAAGAAUAAACACCGGCUAACUUCGU
Molecule: ribosomal RNA, 491 nt
Filed under: uncultured bacterium
Lineage: Bacteria
Description: partial 16S ribosomal RNA
Rfam family: Bacterial small subunit ribosomal RNA
Source: RNAcentral